UACGGGGGGAGCAAGCGUUGUUCGGAUUUACUGGGCGUAAAGGGCGCGUAGGCGGCCAGCACAAGUCAGUUGUGAAAUCUCCGGGCUUAACUCGGAAAGGUCAACUGAUACUGUGCGGCUAGAGUGCAGAAGGGGCAACUGGAAUUCUCGGUGUAGCGGUGGAAUGCGCAGAUAUCAGGAGGAACACCGAUGGCGAAGGCAGCUCGCUGGGACGGUACUGACGCUGAGGCGCGAAAGCGUGGGGAGCGAACAGG
RNAcentral lists this ribosomal RNA (254 nucleotides) under uncultured bacterium. RNAcentral's name for it is "partial 16S ribosomal RNA". It matches the Rfam family "Bacterial small subunit ribosomal RNA", at positions 524 to 776 of the family's 1533-position model. The record is from RNAcentral.